GACGAACCGAGCGAACGUUGUUCGGAAUCACUGGGCAUAAAGGGUGCGUAGGCGGGCCACCAAGUCUGUGGUGAAAUUCUCUGGCUUAACCAGAGUAGUGCCGCGGAUACUGGGGGCCUCGAGGGGGGUAGGGGCAUGCGGAACUCUGGGUGGAGCGGUGAAAUGCGUUGAGAUCCGGAGGAACUCCGGUGGCGAAGGCGGCAUGCUGGACCUUUUCUGACGCUGAGGCACGAAAGCCAGGGGAGCGAACGGG
RNAcentral lists this ribosomal RNA (253 nucleotides) under uncultured bacterium. RNAcentral's name for it is "partial 16S ribosomal RNA". It matches the Rfam family "Bacterial small subunit ribosomal RNA", at positions 524 to 776 of the family's 1533-position model. The record is from RNAcentral.